CUGCGGAGGGAUCAUUACACAAUACAAUAUGAAGGCCGUACGCGGCUGGAUUAUUUUAUUACCCUUGUCUUUUGCGCACUUGUUGUUUCCUGGGCGGGUUCGCCCGCCACCAGGACCACACCACAAACCUUUUUUAUGCAGUUGCAAUCAGCGUCAGUACAACAAAUGUAAAUCAUUUACAACUUUCAACAACGGAUCUCUUGGUUCUGGCAUCGAUGAAGAACGCAGCGAAAUGCGAUACGUAGUGUGAAUUGCAGAAUUCAGUGAAUCAUCGAAUCUUUGAACGCACAUUGCGCCCUUUGGUAUUCCAAAGGGCAUGCCUGUUCGAGCGUCAUUUGUACCCUCAAGCUUUGCUUGGUGUUGGGCGUUUUUUUGUCUUUGGUUGCCAAAGACUCGCCUUAAAACGAUUGGCAGCCGGCCUCCUGGUUUCGCAGCGCAGCACAUUUUUGCGCUUGCAAUCAGCAACAGAGGGCGGCACUCCAUCAAGACUCCAUUUUCACGUUUGACCUCGGAUCAGGUAGGGAUACCCGCUGAACUUAAGCAUAUCAUAUAAGCGGAGGAUUU
This 564-nucleotide ribosomal RNA is filed under the name Curvularia coicicola. RNAcentral describes it as "eukaryotic LSU rRNA". The stretch from base 181 to 334 matches the Rfam family "5.8S ribosomal RNA". The record is from RNAcentral. Lineage: Eukaryota; Fungi; Ascomycota; Dothideomycetes; Pleosporales; Pleosporaceae.